UUUAAAUACAAACAUAUGUACUCGGUAUCAAACCGAAAAGUCUCUAGAUUGUACAAAAAAAAAAGUGCAACAAAAUUAAUGCCAAAAUAAUUUUUAUAAUAAGCGUGAAAUUAAUAAUUACAGUUAUCGAUUAACCAAUGGUGCCAUUUCAAACAUUAGAAAAAAUAAAAAAAAUGUGAGAAUCCCAAAACACGAUCGGUUUUCCAAAAAAGAAAUUUUGAUCAUCCAUCAUAAUUUAACACAGCCCUCACCGCUUCCAUUGCUACACCUUUGGCACUAUUUGUAUUCGAUCCAGUAAACAGCUGCCCAUCCUCCACAAUGAAAGGGUCCUCAACGUAUACAGGAGGAGAUUCAAAAAUGGCGCCAAUGUUUUCGGCAAUGUGACCAAAACUAUAGAAAUUAAGACGGUUCAUCACAUUCAAGACACCAUUUUGGACUUCAUCCUUCCAAGUGCAACCGGUCACACGGCGGUUCGUACACAAAGCUUGCCCAUCAGAAUUCGUCGUGUAAGCCAAGGCAAUGUUAGCUUGUGCAACGGCGCAUAUAAUUCCUUUUGUUUCAUAAAACCGAUACAAAAAGUCCUGUACAACUUUGGCAUGGGGGAAAUCAAAAGAACAGCCAUAUCCUCCAGGUAUAUAAACAAUCACAUAGUCCGAAGGAUUCAAUCGAUCCAGUCUUGCGAUAUUCUUUAAUUUCUUCAUCAAAGAGCAAUCAGGAUUAGAAAAUAUUGAUUGUGUUUCAUCCACUAUCGCCGGGUCUCGAAAGGAUUUAUCGUCAAAUCCAUAAUCCCCAGUAUCAGACGCAAUUACUAUGUCAAAACCAUUUUCUUCAAAUACUUUAAACGCUUCAUAUAAGUCUACUACAUUCACGCCAGUGUUAUCUCCAUCAUCAUAAAAAGGGCCAUAAUAGCUAUUCAGCAAGAAAAGUACUUUUGGUUUUUCCGACGUCUCUCCUGCUGCUUCAUGUCGUUCAUCCAUUUUUUAAUUCAAUUUUCAAUACAAUUCAAUGUCGCAAAUUUGGGUUAUCAGUUAAAAUAUCCUCGUUAUAUUUUAAAAAUUAAGAAAAGGGGAUAUUUAUCUGAUGAAAAGUUAUGUGAUCAAACUGUCAGGAAAUGUCCCUCAAGAUGAUUACACGAGUCUCAAAACUUAUUAUCUUCAAAUGCGAGUUAUUUUGAGCCUUUCAACGAUCCUCUCGAAGCAAUUUAUGUGUACGCCUCCAGCACGAAUCACGAUGACAUGCUUUUUAAUUAAAAUUACUACUUACUUUUUAAAAUUAUUCUACUAAAUAUAAAAACCUGCA
This is a non-coding RNA of Schizosaccharomyces pombe (fission yeast), 1299 nucleotides long. The record is from the annotation of a GenBank genome assembly. NCBI's taxonomy places the organism in Eukaryota, Fungi, Ascomycota, Schizosaccharomycetes, Schizosaccharomycetales, Schizosaccharomycetaceae.